This 73-nucleotide transfer RNA is filed under the name Richelia sp. RM2_1_2. Its description in RNAcentral is "tRNA-Met". It matches the Rfam family "tRNA". From Rfam's summary of the family: Transfer RNA (tRNA) molecules are approximately 80 nucleotides in length. Their secondary structure includes four short double-helical elements and three loops (D, anti-codon, and T loops). Further hydrogen bonds mediate the characteristic L-shaped molecular structure. tRNAs have two regions of fundamental functional importance: the anti-codon, which is responsible for specific mRNA codon recognition, and the 3' end, to which the tRNAs corresponding amino acid is attached (by aminoacyl-tRNA synthetases). tRNAs cope with the degeneracy of the genetic code in two manners: having more than one tRNA (with a specific anti-codon) for a particular amino acid; and 'wobble' base-pairing, i.e. permitting non-standard base-pairing at the 3rd anti-codon position. The record is from RNAcentral. Lineage: Bacteria; Bacillati; Cyanobacteriota; Cyanophyceae; Nostocales; Nostocaceae.
CGUGGGGUGGAGAAGUUGGCAUCUCGUGGCGCUCAUAACGCCAAGUUCGCAGGUUCGAGUCCUGCCCCCGCUA